AUUGAACGCUGGCGGCAGGCUUAACACAUGCAAGUCGAGCGGGGUGAUGGUGCUUGCACUAUCACUUAGCGGCGGACGGGUGAGUAAUGCUUAGGAAUCUGCCUAUUAGUGGGGGACAACAUCUCGAAAGGGAUGCUAAUACCGCAUACGUCCUACGGGAGAAAGCAGGGGAUCACUUGUGACCUUGCGCUAAUAGAUGAGCCUAAGUCGGAUUAGCUAGUUGGUGGGGUAAAGGCCUACCAAGGCGACGAUCUGUAGCGGGUCUGAGAGGAUGAUCCGCCACACUGGGACUGAGACACGACCCAGAGUCCUACAGGAGGCAGCAGUGGAGAAUAUUGGACAAUGGGGGGAACCCUGAACCAGCCAUGCCGCGUGUGUGAAGAAGGCCUUAUGGUUGUAAAGCACUUUAAGCGAGGAGGAGGCUCUUUUGGUUAAUACCCAAGAUGAGUGGACGUUACUCGCAGAAUAAGCACCGGCUAACUCUGUGCCAGCAGCCGCCGUAA
This 503-nucleotide ribosomal RNA is filed under the name uncultured bacterium. Its description in RNAcentral is "partial 16S ribosomal RNA". It matches the Rfam family "Bacterial small subunit ribosomal RNA", at positions 30 to 523 of the family's 1533-position model. The record is from RNAcentral.